AGGGUUUGAUCCUGGCUCAGAACGAACGCUGGCGGCAGGCUUAACACAUGCAAGUCGAACGCGUGUAGCAAUACACGAGUGGCGCACGGGUGAGUAACGCGUGGAUAUCUGCCUUUUGGUUCGGAAUAACCCCGGGAAACUGGGGCUAAUACCGGAUGGUUCCUUCGGGAUAAAGAUUUAUCGCCAAAAGAUGAGUCCGCGUCCGAUUAGCUAGUUGGUGAGGUAAUGGCUCACCAAGGCGACGAUCGGUAGCUGGUCUGAGAGGACGAUCAGCCACACUGGGACUGAGACACGGCCCAGACUCCUACGGGAGGCAGCAGUGGGGAAUAUUGGACAAUGGGGGCAACCCUGAUCCAGCCAUGCCGCGUGAGUGAUGAAGGCCUUCGGGUUGUAAAGCUCUUUUGGCGGGGACGAUGAUGACGGUACCCGCAGAAUAAGCCCCGGCUAACUUCGUGCCAGCAGCCGCGGUAAGACGAAGGGGGCUAGCGUUGUUCGGAAUUACUGGGCGUAAAGCGCGUGUAGGCGGUUAUCCAAGUUGGGUGUGAAAGCCUUGAGCUCAACUCAAGAAAUGCACUCAGUACUGGGUGACUAGAGGACCGGAGAGGAUAGUGGAAUUCCCAGUGUAGUGGUGAAAUAC
RNAcentral lists this ribosomal RNA (637 nucleotides) under uncultured Alphaproteobacteria bacterium. RNAcentral's name for it is "bacterial SSU rRNA". It matches the Rfam family "Bacterial small subunit ribosomal RNA", at positions 8 to 689 of the family's 1533-position model. Lineage: Bacteria; Pseudomonadati; Pseudomonadota; Alphaproteobacteria. The record is from RNAcentral.